RNAcentral lists this ribosomal RNA (511 nucleotides) under uncultured bacterium. RNAcentral's name for it is "partial 16S ribosomal RNA". It matches the Rfam family "Bacterial small subunit ribosomal RNA", at positions 28 to 507 of the family's 1533-position model. The record is from RNAcentral.
GACAAACGCUGGCGGCAUGCCUAACACAUGCAAGUCGAACGGACAGAACAGGGAAGCUUUUCGGAGUGGAACUGGAAAGUUAGUGGCGGAUGGGUGAGUAACGCGUGGACAACCUACCUUGUAAAGGGGAAUAACCUCGAGAAAUCGAAGCUAAUACCCCAUAAUAACCUUGCUUCGCAUGAAGUAAGGAGGAAAGGCGGCCUUAGCGCUGUCGAUACAAGAUGGGUCCGCGUCUGAUUAGCUAGUUGGUGAGGUAAAGGCUCACCAAGGCGACGAUCCGUAGCCGGCCUGAGAGGGUGAACGGCCACAUUGGAACUGAGACACGGCCCAAACUCCUACGGGAGGCAGCAGUGGGGAAUCUUCCGCAAUGGGCGAAAGCCUGACGGAGCAAUGCCGCGUGAGUGAAGAAGGCCUUCGGGUUGUAAAACUCUGUCCUUAUCGAAGAGAGAGUGUUGUAGUAACUGACAAUACUAGGACGGUAGAUGAGGAGGAAGCCCCGGCUAACUACGUG